UACAACGAAGAGUUUGAUCCUGGCUCAGGAUGAACGCUAGCGACAGGCCUAACACAUGCAAGUCGAGGGGCAUCGGGGAGCGAAGCUUGCUUUGCUCCGCCGGCGACCGGCGCACGGGUGAGUAACGCGUAUGCAACCUGCCCGUUUCAGCGGGAUAACCCGGAGAAAUCCGGCCUAAUACCGCAUGUGGCCGAGGGAAGGCAUCUUCUUUCGGCCAAAGGAGGCGACUCCGGAGACGGAUGGGCAUGCGUGACAUUAGCUUGUUGGCGGGGUAACGGCCCACCAAGGCGACGAUGUCUAGGGGUUCUGAGAGGAAGGUCCCCCACACUGGUACUGAGACACGGACCAGACUCCUACGGGAGGCAGCAGUGAGGAAUAUUGGUCAAUGGGCGAGAGCCUGAACCAGCCAAGUCGCGUGAAGGAUGACGGCCCUACGGGUUGUAAACUUCUUUUGUCAGGGAGCAAUUGGGUCCACGCGUGGGCUUAGCGAGAGUACCUGAAGAAAAAGCAUCGGCUAACUCCGUGCCAGCAGCCGCGGUAAUACGGAGGAUGCGAGCGUUAUCCGGAUUUAUUGGGUUUAAAGGGUGCGUAGGCGGAAUGUCAAGUCAGCGGUAAAAAUUCGGGGCUCAACCCCGUCGUGCCGUUGAAACUGAUGUUCUUGAGUGGGCGAGAAGUAUGCGGAAUGCGUGGUGUAGCGGUGAAAUGCAUAGAUAUCACGCAGAACUCCGAUUGCGAAGGCAGCAUACCGGCGCCCAACUGACGCUGAAGCACGAAAGCGUGGGUAUCGAACAGGAUUAGAUACCCUGGUAGUCCACGCAGUAAACGAUGAAUGCUAAUUGUCCGGAGGGAUUGACCUCUGGGUGAUACAGCGAAAGCGUUAAGCAUUCCACCUGGGGAGUACGCCGGCAACGGUGAAACUCAAAGGAAUUGACGGGGGCCCGCACAAGCGGAGGAACAUGUGGUUUAAUUCGAUGAUACGCGAGGAACCUUACCCGGGCUCAAACGCAGGAGGAAUACAUUUGAAAGGGUGUAGCUCUACGGAGUCUUCUGCGAGGUGCUGCAUGGUUGUCGUCAGCUCGUGCCGUGAGGUGUCGGCUUAAGUGCCAUAACGAGCGCAACCCCUAUCGACAGUUGCCAACAGGU
RNAcentral lists this ribosomal RNA (1143 nucleotides) under Muribaculum intestinale. RNAcentral describes it as "bacterial SSU rRNA". It matches the Rfam family "Bacterial small subunit ribosomal RNA", at positions 1 to 1126 of the family's 1533-position model. The record is from RNAcentral. Lineage: Bacteria; Pseudomonadati; Bacteroidota; Bacteroidia; Bacteroidales; Muribaculaceae.